This 516-nucleotide ribosomal RNA is filed under the name uncultured bacterium. RNAcentral describes it as "partial 16S ribosomal RNA". It matches the Rfam family "Bacterial small subunit ribosomal RNA", at positions 28 to 523 of the family's 1533-position model. The record is from RNAcentral.
GACGAACGCUGGCGGCGUGCCUAAUACAUGCAAGUCGAGCGGACUUGAUGAAGUGCUUGCACUUCUGAUGGUUAGCGGCGGACGGGUGAGUAACACGUAGGUAACCUGCCUAUAAGACUGGGAUAACAUUCGGAAACGAAUGCUGAUACCGGAUACGCGAAUUGGUCGCAUGGCCGAAUCGGGAAAGACGGAGCAAUCUGUCACUUAUAGAUGGACCUGCGGCGCAUUAGCUAGUUGGUGAGGUAACGGCUCACCAAGGCGACGAUGCGUAGCCGACCGGAGAGGUUGAUCGGCCACACUGGGACUGAGAAACGGCCCAGACUCCUACGGGAGGCAGCAGUAGGGAAUCUUCCGCAAUGGACGAAAGUCUGACGGAGCAACGCCGCGUGAGUGAUGAAGGUUUUCGGAUCGUAAAGCUCUGUUGCCAGGGAAGAACGCUUGGGAGAGUAACUGCUCUCAAGGUGACGGUACCUGAGAAGAAAGCCCCGGCUAACUACGUGCCAGCCGCCGCGGUAA